This is an RNA transcript of Nannospalax galili (Upper Galilee mountains blind mole rat), 936 nucleotides long. It is a transcript of the gene named palmitoyl-protein thioesterase 1 pseudogene, with no coding region annotated. NCBI's taxonomy places the organism in Eukaryota, Metazoa, Chordata, Mammalia, Rodentia, Spalacidae. The record is from RefSeq and is a predicted model, not a curated record. The transcript has a single exon.
CUCAGCUGGUGUUGCGCGGCCAGGGUGCUGGGGCAUCCGGACUCACCACCGCCACCGGUGAUCUAGCAUGGGAUAGGGGACAGUUGUAAUCCCAUGAGCAUGGGUGCCAUUAAGAAGAUGGUGGAGAAGCAACUACCUGGAAUUUACGUCUUAUCUUUAGAGAUUGGGAAGAACAUGAUGGAGGAUGUGGCGAACAGCUUCUUCUUAAAUGUCAAUUCCCAAGUAAGGGUAGUGUGUGAAAUUCUUGCUAAGGGUCCUAAGCUGCAGCAAGGCUACAAUGCUAUAGGAUUCUCCCAGGGAGGCCAGUUUCUGAGGGCAGUGGCUCAGAGAUGCCCGACGCCUUCCAUGAUGAAUCUGAUUUCAGUUGGGGGACAACAGCAAGGUGUCUUUGGACUCCCUCGAUGCCCAGGAGAGAGCUCUCAUAUCUGUGACUUCAUCAGGAAAAUGCUCAGUACUGGCACUUACUCCAAAGUUGUUCAAGAAUGCCUGGUGCAAGCAGAAUACUGGCAUGACCCCAUAAAGGAGGAUGUGUACCGCAACCACAGUGUCUUCUUGGCAGACAUAAACCAAGAGAGAAGUGAGUGUCAAUGAAUCCUACAAGAAAAACCUGAUGGCCCUCAAGAAGUUUGGGAUGGUGAAAUUCCUCAACGAUUCCAUUGUGGACCCUGUAGUGUCUGAGUGGUUUGGAUUUUAUAGAAGCGGCCAGGCCAAAAAACUAUUCCCCUCCAGGUGACCACUCUAUACACAGAGGACCGCCUGGGACUAAAGGAAAUGGACAAAGCAGGGAAGCUAGUGUUUUUGGCUACAGAAGGGGACCAUCUUCAGCUGAAUGAAGAAUGGUUUUAUGCCCAUAUCAUACCCUUUCUUAAGUGAAGCCCUUGUAGUUUCUAAGUGCUCAGGAGACCCUAGAUCUUCAAACUAUAUGGACAGUUCACA